AUAUUGCACAAUGGGGGAAACCCUGAUGCAGCGACGCCGCGUGUGGGAAGACGGUCCUCUGGAUUGUAAACCACUGUCCCCAGGGACGAAGAUGACGGUACCUGGGGAGGAAGCCCCGGCUAACUACGUGCCAGCAGCCGCGGUACUCCGUAGGGAGCGAGCGUUGGCCGGAAUUACUGGGUGUAAAGGGAGUGUAGGCGGGACUGCAAGUUGGGUGUCAAAUCUACCGGCUCAACCGGUAGCCGCACUCAAAACUGCAGUUCCUGAGUGAAGUAGAGGCAGGCGGAAUUCCUAGUGUAGCGGUGAAAUGCGUAGAUAUUAGGAGGAACACCAGUGGCGAAGGCGGCCUGCUGGGCUUUUACUGACGCUGAGGCUCGAAAGUGUGGGGAGCAAACAGG
RNAcentral lists this ribosomal RNA (398 nucleotides) under uncultured bacterium. RNAcentral's name for it is "bacterial SSU rRNA". It matches the Rfam family "Bacterial small subunit ribosomal RNA", at positions 361 to 776 of the family's 1533-position model. The record is from RNAcentral.